This 305-nucleotide ribosomal RNA is filed under the name uncultured bacterium. RNAcentral describes it as "bacterial SSU rRNA". It matches the Rfam family "Bacterial small subunit ribosomal RNA", at positions 333 to 655 of the family's 1533-position model. The record is from RNAcentral.
CGAUUCCUACGGGGGGCAGCAGUGGGGAAUAUUGCACAAUGGGGGAAACCCUGAUGCAGCAAUGCCGCGUGGGUGAAGAAGUACUCCGGUAUGUAAAGCCCUAUCAGCAGGGAAGAAAAUGACGGUACCUGACUAAGAAGCCCCGGCUAACUACGUGCCAGCAGCCGCGGUAAUACGUAGGGGGCGAGCGUUAUCCGGAUUUACUGGGUGUAAAGGGAGCGUAGACGGCUGUGCAAGUCUGAAGUGAAAUGCCGGGGCUCAACCCCGGAACUGCUUUGGAGACUGUACAGCUAGAGUGCAGGAGG